This 105-nucleotide ribosomal RNA is filed under the name uncultured methanogenic archaeon. RNAcentral describes it as "partial 16S ribosomal RNA". It matches the Rfam family "Archaeal small subunit ribosomal RNA", at positions 369 to 475 of the family's 1478-position model. The record is from RNAcentral. Lineage: Archaea; Methanobacteriati; Methanobacteriota.
GAUGAGGGAUUCCUAGUGCUAGCACAUUUGUGUUAGCUUUUCCUUAGCGUANAUAACUAGGGGAAUAAGGGCUGGGUAAGACGGGUGCCAGCCGCCGCGGUAAUA